Long non-coding RNA from Bombyx mori (domestic silkworm), 1126 nucleotides. RefSeq lists it as uncharacterized. The transcript has 2 exons. The record is from RefSeq and is a predicted model, not a curated record. NCBI's taxonomy places the organism in Eukaryota, Metazoa, Arthropoda, Insecta, Lepidoptera, Bombycidae.
UUUUGUCAAUAGAACCAUAAUAUUGUUCAAACUUAUAGUUUAAAUUAGUAAUUAUAGUCGAAUAUCGACUACUGGGGGACCACUAGUCUAUGACUAUUUCGAGACAGAAAUAGGUAUAACGGCGGCAACCAAUCAUGCUGGCUUAUAAUACGCCCGGCCACCGGAAAAAACUACUCAUAUUAUGUAAAGUUGCAGGAUUCCGAAGUACACAAUGAUGCAUUUCGGAUUCACCCCCGGUAUUUAUACGAAAGCUUUUUGUGGACAAUUACGCAUCGUUGCAGAUUCUGUUCAUAUUUUAUGAGUAUAUACUUAUGCAAGGACAAUGUGGUAUGUCCCUUAUUCAGUUACUGAAUUGCGAUGCCAACCAAACUACAAUUAAAUAUGUGCUUUAUGUUUCUACACAUAAGGACGGUAUAAGAUUAUAAAUCUGAAGUUAAAAUGAUAAUAUGAACAAUAAUAUAAAUUAACUAUUACGUGAGCCUCUCAAACAUGGUUUUAUAGAAUUUUGAGUGACAAAAAUAUUUUUAUACACGAAUCAAAGCAAUUUAUACUCUAUCUUAUUUAUAAAUUUUGAUCAUAAUCUUAGAAAUCCGAUACAUAAAUACACCUAAAUGGAAAAUUUUACGUCCAAAUGACUCGUCCCUACCUUCAAAAAUCGAUUAAUGGAACUAGUAUGCGACCGAUCAACUUUAAAUUCUAAUCAAUAGAGAACAUAACUAUAAUAGUAAAUAUGUACAUAUUAAAUUAUACAUAAUAUUAUGUUCUUUAUUUGAUUCGUCGAAGAGGAUAUGAAAUUCAAUAGCUGUCAUAAUGGGGUUUGUGAUAUCGUCUUUUCUCAAGACUAUCAGCUAUCAAGGCUAUCAGCAUAGGUAGGGGAAAAAAAAAAAGAAAAAAGAAUUGUAUACUUUUAGUUUUUUUUGUUUUUCUAUGUUUUGACUACUAUAACAAAAUUAAUACAUAAUUUUAUCUUACUUUAAAAGAGACAGAUAAUGUAACUGGUAAAAAAUAAAAAAUAAAUGUUGCAAAGAUGAUUAAUAUUAAAAAAUAUCACAUGUUAAACCUUUAAAACACUCUCCUGUAAUAUUAGUAAGUUUUGAGAUAAUACAGUUUUAAUGCGAGAAGACGA